CCUACGGGAGGCAGCAGUGAGGAAUAUUGGUCAAUGGGCGCGAGCCUGAACCAGCCAAGUCGCGUGAGGGAAGACGGUCCUAUGGAUUGUAAACCUCUUUUGUCGGGGAGCAAAAGACGCCACGCGUGGCGUUCCGCGAUUACCCGAAGAAAAAGCAUCGGCAAACUCCGUGCCAGCAGCCGCGGUAAUACGGGGGAUGCGAGCGUUAUCCUGAUUUAUUGGGUUUAAAGGGUGCGCAGGCGGAAGAUCAAGUCAGCGGUAAAAUUGAGAGGCUCAACCUCUUCGAGCAGUUGAAACUGGUUUUCUUGAGUGAGUGAGAAGUAUGCGGAAUGCGUGGUGUAGCGGUGAAAUGCAUAGAUAUCACGCAGAACUCCGAGUGCGAAGGCAGCAUACCGGCGCUCAACUGACGCUCAUGCACGAAAGUGUGGGUAUCGAACAGGAUUAGAUACCCGGGUAGUC
This 459-nucleotide ribosomal RNA is filed under the name uncultured bacterium. RNAcentral's name for it is "partial 16S ribosomal RNA". It matches the Rfam family "Bacterial small subunit ribosomal RNA", at positions 338 to 795 of the family's 1533-position model. The record is from RNAcentral.